AAGAACCUUACCAAGUCUUGACAUCUGGAUGACAGGAACUUAACCGUUCCCUCCCUUCGGGGCAUCCAAGACAGGUGGUGCAUGGUUGUCGUCAGCUCGUGUCGUGAGAUGUUGGGUUAAGUCCCGCAACGAGCGCAACCCCUGUCCUUAGUAGCCAGCAGUAAGAUGGGCACUCUAGGGAGACUGCCGGGGACAACCCGGAGGAAGGCGGGGACGACGUCAAAUCAUCAUGCCCCUUAUGAUUUGGGCUACACACGUGCUACAAUGGCGUAAACAAAGGGAAGCGAGAGUGUGAGCUGGAGCAAAUCCCAAAAAUAACGUCCCAGUUCGGACUGCAGUCUGCAACUCGACUGCACGAAGCUGGAAUCGCUAGUAAUCGCGGAUCAGAAUGCCGCGGUGAAUACGUUCCCGGGUCUUGUACACACCG
This 427-nucleotide ribosomal RNA is filed under the name uncultured bacterium. RNAcentral's name for it is "bacterial SSU rRNA". It matches the Rfam family "Bacterial small subunit ribosomal RNA", at positions 964 to 1392 of the family's 1533-position model. The record is from RNAcentral.